GGGGCGACCCCGACGCCGAGGCUGCUCGCGUGGAAUCAGCACCGAAUGGCUGGGUUCCCUGUGUGAUUGCAUCUUCCCCGGCUCGACUCUCAGGGAAGACUAAGGGGAAAGAGAGUCAGGUGAAAGUGGAGCGGGAAGGUGACUACAGAGCAGACGCGGGACAGCGGGAAGGUGACCGCGGG
This 182-nucleotide long non-coding RNA is filed under the name Mustela putorius furo (domestic ferret). Its description in RNAcentral is "lncRNA (ENSMPUG00000027487.1)". Lineage: Eukaryota; Metazoa; Chordata; Mammalia; Carnivora; Mustelidae. The record is from RNAcentral.